RNAcentral lists this transfer RNA (71 nucleotides) under Marmota monax (woodchuck). RNAcentral describes it as "tRNA.Val". The record is from RNAcentral. Lineage: Eukaryota; Metazoa; Chordata; Mammalia; Rodentia; Sciuridae.
GGGGUUGUGACUCAGUGGUAGAGGGCUUGCCUCACACGUGUGAGGCACUGGGUUCACUUCUCAGCACCACA